GACGAACGCUGGCGGCGUGCUUAACACAUGCAAGUCGAGCGGUAAGGCCCUUUCGGGGGUACGACGAGCGGCGAACGGGUGGGUAACACGUGGGUGACCUGCCCUCCAGCUCUGGGAGUAAGCCUGGGAAACCGGGUCUAAUACUGGAUAUGACUCCAUGACGCAUGUUGUGGGGUGGAAAGCCUUGUGCGGCUGAGGAUGGGCCCGCGGCCUAUCAGCUUGUUGGUGGGGUGAGGCCUACCAAGGCGACGACGGGUAGCCGGCCUGAGAGGGCGACCGGCCACACUGGGACUGAGACACGGCCCAGACUCCUACGGGAGGCAGCAGUGGGGAAUCUUGCGCAAUGGGCGAAAGCCUGACGCAGCGACGCCGCGUGAGGGAUGACGGCC
RNAcentral lists this ribosomal RNA (389 nucleotides) under uncultured bacterium. RNAcentral describes it as "bacterial SSU rRNA". It matches the Rfam family "Bacterial small subunit ribosomal RNA", at positions 28 to 416 of the family's 1533-position model. The record is from RNAcentral.